This 279-nucleotide ribosomal RNA is filed under the name uncultured bacterium. Its description in RNAcentral is "partial 16S ribosomal RNA". It matches the Rfam family "Bacterial small subunit ribosomal RNA", at positions 506 to 784 of the family's 1533-position model. The record is from RNAcentral.
UGCCAGCCGCCGCGGUAACACGAACCGGACGACCGUUAUUCGGAAUCACUGGGCUUAAAGAGUGCGUAGGCGGUCCAUUAAGUUGGGUGUGAAAUCCCUCGGCUCAACCGAGGAACUGCGCCCAAAACUAGUGGGCUUGAGGGAGACAGGGGUGAGCGGAACUGAUGGUGGAGCGGUGAAAUGCGUUGAUAUCAUCAGGAACACCGGUGGCGAAGGCGGCUUUCUGGACCGAUACUGACGCUGAGACGCGAAAGCGUGGGGAGCAAACAGGAUUAGAUA